UCCUUGACCCAGAGCCGGCGGCCACCGCCCCUGCCCGCGGCGGCGGCGGCGCCACCGGGGGCUGCACCGGACGAGUGCUCGUGGUCGCCGUCAUUGCUGCCGGCGCUGUUCUCCCGGGAGCUGGUGGUCGGGGAGCGCUGCCUCUUGACACCAGACGCCUCGCCUUCCAGGAGCUGGUGGUAGUCGGCGCUCCUCUUCCUGCUCGGGUCCGCCAUCGCCACCGGCGCCUGGAACGCCGGCAGCGCCGCCGCCUGCUCCUCGGCGCACAGGUGCGUGAACCAGGACGUGAGGUCGUCUCCGGCGGGCAGGUCAAACAAGGAGCCGAACUGCGCCUCGGUGUACGAGGUGCUCAUCUAGGUGAUGCCGGUGUCGAGAGGCUGUAGGCAAGAAC
RNAcentral lists this long non-coding RNA (391 nucleotides) under Sorghum bicolor (sorghum). RNAcentral describes it as "long non-coding RNA (SBIC_LNC004033)". Lineage: Eukaryota; Viridiplantae; Streptophyta; Magnoliopsida; Poales; Poaceae. The record is from RNAcentral.